GAUCAUAAAAAGAGUGAUAAGAAACCCAUUUGAAAUCAACCACAUACCCAACUUUUCUACAUCUAAGAUAGGAUGUUUACUAAAUAUCUUAUUGUUUUUCAACUUUUAUGAUUCCAUUAUUUAUUUAUUUUCAUUUAUUUAUUUAUUUUUGUAUGAAGGUCACUUUUUUUCCAUAAGCUUUUCUUAUUUUGCAACUUAUCAAUUGUAUUGUACUGUAAUGUAUAUAUAUUUUUUCCCCGUAAAGUAUGAAAAUUAUCAUAAAAACAUUGUUUUAUAAAACUAUGAUAUUUAAACAAAGAUACAAUAUUAACAUAUUAUGUAUGUAGAGGCCAAAGUACAAUUCAUAGUAAUGUGAAUAAGAAUUAAUGUUAAAAAGGUAAAUAAUUUAAUUUAGACGUUCAUGUAAUGGGUAAAAUGUUAAAUACUACUUAAAAGGUUAAAAGCAUCUUAGAAUUCAUGUGUUUAUAGGUUUUGGUACAUAUUGGUAAAAUAGUGUGCUACCUCUUUAAGAAAAGGCCAACUAUAUUACGUUGAUUCUCAUUAUGUUAUUCAGAUCUUGAGAGCUGUGGAAGCGAACGGUUUUCUUACCUGCUAACUGCUAACUUCUAGUUACUUUUAUUAGUAAUCUUUUAUUUCAUUAGCGACUAUAGAAUAAGUGUAUUAGUCAGCUCACAUUUUCUUUUUUGUAAAUUUGAAACCAAGGAAUAAAACCGGAGAUUUUCAUCUUUUAUUUCAACAACGUUUCUGAAGUGGAUUUAUUGAACUGUGUUGCUGGGCUGACAAUGGACACUACAAAUGGGACUAGCUGCUUGGAAUAAUAUUAGACAGUUAUUAGUGUAAGCCAUCGCAUAUCUCAAGAUUUCAAACCUCUAUAUUAGUAAGAAAACCUGCUUGACAUUGGACAACGAGCCUUUGGAGAGGUUUGCGGAAAGUGGAACAUAAAUGAAGGUUCAAUGAAGGGCUAACUUUCUCGACUAGCCUGAUCAUGUGCUGUACUCGUGGCUUGUGAGUGCUAAGUGGAUUGCUGACGUCUCAGGGAGUUCGUCGUUGCUGCUGCUCGACUGUUGCGGGUGGAGCCUGUGGAGAAAACGGACUGACUAUCAAAGCAAUCAUGACGGAGACAGGAACAGAAGCCACGGUAAGCCUAACUGAGAAAAAACGAGUGGUUAAGCCAACACUUAAAGCAUUGGAGUAUAAUCUGCAAACGAAAAUGAGCUCCAGAAGAGCCAUAUUAGGACAACUAACUGAGAAAAAGAACGAAUUGCAUGGUUUAAUGGAUGAUGAUGCAAAUGUGGAAAUCAUAGCAAAGGAAUUGUUGGCCAAGUAUGAAACACUGAUAAAGGAAUUCAGUAAAAUAAAUGCUGACGUUAAAGACAUAUUUUGCCAGAUUGAAUGCAUAGAGAAUUUGAACACAGAUCAAAGGGAUUGGUUUGAGCCAAGAAAUAACGAGCACAGAGAAUUUGUGCAAGAAGUGACAGCAUGGAUACAGAAUGCAAUACUACGCAGAGAAGAGGCUAACAAGGUUAGUGAGCAGAUACAUCCUGAAGAUAGUGUGUCAGUCACAUCCAGUAAGUCUAGAAAAUCUAAGUCUGUUUCUGCUACUUCUGCAACAUCGUCAGCUCGUGCUGAGCGCUUAAAGGUCGAAUUAGAGAGAGCUGCUCUGUUAGCCAAGUCAGCUACAUUGAGAAAAAGACAGACUUUAGAGGAGCAUGAACUAAAGCUCAAGGUUGAAAAAGAACAGUUGGAGCUGCAAGCAGGGCUCGCUGCAACUGAUGCACGAUUAGCCGUGUUAAGAAAAUAUGAAAGUUCAGAGGUGUCAAGUAGAACCAAAGGCAGUAGGGUGGAAAUAUUGAUGUCUGCGCCAAGGAAGCAUGAUGUCAGCCACAGUAAGAGAAGUGUAGCUAGCAGUGGAACUUGGCAUAGCCACACUAGUGGAAGAGGUGCAGAUGCAAUACGAGCUCCUGUCACUUCAGAUAAUCACACAGAUAAUCUGGUUACCGUCAUGCAACGGCAAAACGACAUCACUGAAAGCCUAAUAAAGCAGCAAAGGCUAUCUACAUUGCCAUCACCGAACAUUCCAGUUUUCAAGGGAGAUCCAUUAGAAUAUCGUCUCUUCAUGAGAGCCUUUGAGCAUCGUAUAGAAAGCAAGACUGAAAACAGCAAAGAUCGGCUUUACUAUCUAGAACAGCACACAAAUGGGCAGCCUAAUGACUUAGUGCGCAGCUGUUUUCAUAUGGAUCCAGAUCAGGGCUACUCCGAAGCCAAGAGACUGCUAAAGGAACGCUUUGGUGAUAAAUAUAAGAUAUCCAUGGCAUACCUUGACAAGGCUUUAAACUGGCCUGCCAUUAAAGCAGAUGACACCAAGGCACUUGAAGCAUACGCACUCUUUAUGACAAACUGCAAUAAUGCAAUGUCAGAUCUGGAGUACUUAGAAGAGAUGGAAAAUGCUGCUAACAUGCGUACGAUCAUCUCAAAGCUCCCAUACAGGCUGAGAGAGAGAUUCAGGAGUGUCGCCAUAGACAUUCAGAAAAAGCAAGAUCGGCGGACAAAGUUCAAAGACAUAGUGUCAUUUGUCAACACACAGGCUGAAAUAGCAGCACACCCUGUGUUUGGUGAAAUCUCAGGACAAACAAGGCGCCAGACUGAAAGGUUAAGUGGAAAGAAAAACAUCACAACACUAGCCACUGAAGUAAAAGAACAGAAAGCUGAGAAAGAUGCUGCUAGUGCCCGAAACAAGAAAGCUCAGGAGAAGGGAACAAACAUGGACAAAGCCUUCAUGAAACCUUGUAUCUUCUGUCAGGGAGAUCAUACCAUGGAACAGUGCAAGAAACUCCAAAGAAAGCUUCACAAAGAAAAGCUUGAAUUCCUGAAGAGUAAAGGACUUUGUUUCAGUUGUCUUAUAGGAGGACACAUGAGUAAUGCCUGUGAAGAAAAGAAAAGCUGUCAGAUAUGUUCAGCGACACACCCUACGCUCUUACACAUAAAGCAGAAAUUUAAAGACUUACCAAAGGAAGAGGCAUCACAGGAGGAGCCAAAAGAGGAGUCUCCAAAGGAAGAGCAAACCGUUGUCAGUGGAUUCGUGGAUGCAGGGGAAGCAUGCUCUCAGACUGGGGUCGGGGGUACCGGUAGUGUCCUCGCCAUCGUUCCUGUGAGGGUAAAGGCAAAGAAAGGCAACAAGGUGCUGACUUGUUAUGCAUUCAUGGAUCCAGGGAGUAACGCCUCCUUCUGCACUAACAAGCUGGCGAACGACCUUCACCUGCAAGGAAAAAAUGUGAACAUCCUACUCACUACUAUGGGAGACCAAAAGACAGUCUCAUGUAAAGCUGUAUCAGACCUAGAAGUGAGUAGCUUAGAAGGUGAUGACUUUAUCGAGCUUACAGGUGUUUUCGCACAAAAGGUUAUCCCCGCAAGUAAAGAGAACAUUCCAACCCAAGAAGACGUGGAUAGGUGGCCACAUCUACGAGGUGUACGAAUUCCAUCGAUCAACGCGGAUAUCGGUCUUCUCAUUGGGACUGAUGUGGCAAAGGCUUUGGAGCCAAAAGAGGUAAUCCGCAGUGUCAAGGAUGGGCCGUAUGCAGUACGCACAGCUUUGGGAUGGACAGUGAACGGACCGCUGCGUGAGAACUUCAGAAGCUGGACAAAGAAUGGAUACCCGCAGAUCCAGAUGAAUCGGAUCUCAGUGGCUCGACUCGAAGACUUAUGGACUCAGCAACUCAAGUACGAUUUUCCUGAGAAUGCUCAAGGAGAGCAGUUAGAAAUGUCUAAGGAAGACCAACUGUUUAUGGAGAGAGUUUCCAAAUCGGCAAAGCUGGUCAACGGACACUACUCUAUUGGUCUUCCGUUGAAGAACAAGGAUGUGAAAAUGCCCAACAACAGAGCAAUGGCAGAGCAACGAGUGCUCAACAUGAAAAAGAAGCUACAGAGAAAUCAAACGUUCAAAGAGGACUAUGUCAGCUUCAUGAAUGAUGUGAUAAAGAAGGGCUACGCUGUAAAGGUUCCAGAUGAAGAACUAAAACGGAGUGAUGGAAAGGUGUGGUUUAUUCCGCAUCACGGUGUCUACCACCCUAAGAAGCAUAAAAUGCGUGUGGUAUUCGACUGUGGCGCUUCAUAUCAAGGAACCACACUCAAUGAACAAUUACUGCAAGGGCCUGACAUGACAAGCAGUCUGGUUGGUGUCUUGACUAGAUUCCGUCAAGAGCGAGUCGCAAUCAUGGCGGAUGUGGAAUCGAUGUUCCACCAGGUCAAAGUCCCACCAGAAGAUGCCGACCUUCUCAGGUUUUUGUGGUGGCCGGACGGCGACACCUCAAAAGAAAUGCAAGAGUACAGAAUGGAGGUACACUUGUUUGGAGCCACCUCCUCACCAAGUUGCGCAAGUUAUGCGUUGAGAAGGUGUGCCGAGGACAACAAGAACAUGUUUGGUGCAGCAGUUGUGGAUACAGUCUUAAAUAAUUUUUAUGUAGACGAUUGUUUGAAAUCAGUUGCCACUGAACAAGAAGCAGUCAGACUACUACAAGACUUGAAGGCCAUCUGUCAAACAGGAGGUUUUAGACUGACAAAAUGGACAACGAACAAUCGAAAUGUGUUGUUAAACAUUCCACUUGAGGACCGGGCAACAGAAGUCAAAGAUCUCGAUCUUGACCAGGAUUCACUCGCCAUCAAGAGAGCUUUGGGAGUACAGUGGUGUAUCCGGUCAGAUCAGUUCAAGUUCCAUGUGCAUAUAGAGCAGAAGCCUCUCACCAGGAGAGGAAUCCUGUCUACGAUGAGUUCAGUCUACGACCCACUGGGAAUGUUGUCGCCAGUCAUACUGCCUGCUAGAAACAUCCUGCAAGAAUUGUGUAGACUAAGAACAGGCUGGGAUGACACUGUGCCAGAACAUUUCGCACAACAAUGGACAGAGUGGACUGAAGAACUUCAACAGCUCACUGACUUUGGAGUGGAUCGGUGCUUUAAGACACCUGAGUUUGGGAAAACAGUGCAAGCUCGGUUGCAUCACUUUUGUGACGCGUGCGAAACAGGCUACGGUACUGUUACUUACUUAGUCCAGAAGAACAGUAACAAUCAAAUACUCUGCUCAUUUGUCUUGGGAAAGGCAAGGGUUGCCCCUCUCAAACCACCAACUAUCCCGCGGAUGGAGCUGACGGCGGCUGCCUUAGCUGUGAAGGUGGAUGUCAUGCUGAAGAAAGAACUACAGUUGCCACUGUCAGAUUCCAGGUUUUGGACGGACAGUACUGCCGUACUCAGGUACUUAGCAAAUGAGAACAUCAGAUUUAAGACAUUUGUGGCGAAUAGGAUUGCCAUAAUCUUGCAAGCAUCAAAAGUGCAGCAAUGGAGCUACGUCAACACUCAGUUGAAUCCUGCUGAUUGCGCCUCCAGGGGACAAAAGGUGAGUGUCUUCAUGAAGAACGAAGUUUGGAUUGCAGGACCUGUCUUCCUCAGUAAACCUGAAAGGGAAUGGCCAGACAAACACGAUUACCUAGAAGAGCUCACGGCUGAAGAUCCUGAGGUCAAGAAAGGCAUACUUGUCAAUGCUACAACAGCAGAAGAAAGCACUGAUGCAAUGCAAAAACUAAUUGGAUACUAUUCUUCAUGGAUACACCUCAAGAAGGCUGUGGCGUGGCUCACACGACUCAAGGGAACCCUGGUAAACCUGUCAAGGAAAAGAAAGGAGAUGAAUGGAUUGUACAGUGAUCAACAACGGGUGGACAGGGAGAUGCUGAGCUACAAAAAGAGUCUCAAACAGACUUACCUGACUGUGGACAAUCUGCGACAAGCUGAGACGGAUAUCAUCAGCCAUUGUCAGCAAAGUAGUUUCCAAGAAGAGAUAUCUGCUCUUCGUAGAAAGGACUCCAUCAAGAAGAGUAGUCGAAUCUUCAGACUGAAUCCACAACUUGAAGAGGGAAUCCUUCGUGUUGGAGGGAGGCUCAGUCGGGCAUCCAUGCCAGCCGAAGCCAAGCACCCUAUAAUCCUGCCUAAGAACCAUCGUGUGGCUGAUCUGAUUCUCCAGGAUUCACAUGAGCGGCUGGGACACAGUGGACGUAAUCAUGUCUUGUCUCAUGUACGUCAAAAGUACUGGAUUAUCGAUGCUCUCUCGUCAAUUAGAAGAAUGCUGUCACGGUGUACUAUCUGUCGAAGACAACAUGGUGCAUCAGGCACACAAAUGAUGGCGGACUUACCAAGAAACAGAGUUGUACCAGACGAACCACCCUUCACCAGAACUGGAGUGGAUCUAUUUGGGCCAUUCAACAUUAAACGUGGAAGAUCAUCUGUAAAAAGAUAUGGGGUGAUAUUUACCUGCCUUGCAUGUCGUGCGGUUCACAUAGAAAUAGCAACAUCAUUGGAAACAGACUCCUUUAUUCAAGCUCUGCGUCGCUUCAUUGCAAGAAGAGGUCAGGUAAAGGAGAUGAGAUCUGAUAAUGGGACCAACUUUGUUGGAGCUGAUCAUGAGCUCAGAAAGGCAAUAAAGGAGUGGAAUACUUCACAAAUUGAGAACAGCUUGCUCCAACGUGACAUCAGAUGGUUAUUCAAUCCACCAUCCGGAUCCCACCAUGGAGGGGUGUGGGAGAGAAUUAUCCGCUCCAUCAGGACAAUCAUGGGUUCUACACUGAGAGAACAAAACUUGGAUGAGGAAGGUCUUCAGACGUUCUUCUGUGAAUGUGAAGCCAUUCUGAAUAGUAGGCCUAUUACCAUGCCUUCCAAUGACAUUAAUGAUCUGGAAGCUCUUACCCCACAGCACUUACUCCUGCUCAAGACUAACCCCAACUUACCACCAGGACUCUUCCAUAAGGAUGAUACUUAUGCACGUAAAAGAUGGAGGCAAGUCCAGUAUAUGAGCGAUCUAUUCUGGAAGCGCUGGACCAAGGAAUAUCUGCCUCAACUUCAGAAGAGACAGAAAUGGAACCAUCCAUCACGGAACUUCAUCCCGGGAGAUGUAGUCUUGAUUGUCGAUGAAUCAGCCCCCAGGGGAGCAUGGCUGAUGGGAAGAAUCGUUAAGACUAUGGAGGACGAGCAUGGAGUGGUCCGCAAGGUUCGAGUCAAGACUAAGACGAAUGAACUUGAGAGGCCGAUAACUAAACUCUGCUUACUUCAGGAAGCAGUAUGAGAAGGACUGUAACUGAGUUUUACUCAAAAGAAAGACAUUUAAAGUUAUAAUUGCUUCUAGGAUAGAAGGCAAUUAGGGGCCGGGUAUGUAGAGGCCAAAGUACAAUUCAUAGUAAUGUGAAUAAGAAUUAAUGUUAAAAAGGUAAAUAAUUUAAUUUAGAAGUUCAUGUAAUGGGUAAAAUGUUAAAUACUACUUAAAAGGUUAAAAGCAUCUUAGAAUUCAUGUGUUUAUAGGUUUUGGUACAUAUUGGUAAAAUAGUGUACUACCUCUUUAAGAAAAGGCCAACUAUAUUACGUUGAUUCUCAUUAUGUUAUUCAGAUCUUGAGAGCUGUGGAAGCGAACGGUUUUCUUACCUGCUAACUGCUAACUUCUAGUUACUUUUAUUAGUAAUCUUUUAUUUCAUUAGCGACUAUAGAAUAAGUGUAUUAGUCAGCUCACAUUUUCUUUUUUGUAAAUUUGAAACCAAGGAAUAAAACCGGAGAUUUUCAUCUUUUAUUUCAACAACGUUUCUGAAGUGGAUUUAUUGAACUGUGUUGCUGGGCUGACAAUGGACACUACAAAUGGGACUAGCUGCUUGGAAUAAUAUUAGACAGUUAUUAGUGUAAGCCAUCGCAUAUCUCAAGAUUUCAAACCUCUACAAUGUACAUAUUAUAAAAAUGAUUUUGCUAAAUUUGAUUUCACAAUCAACUGUUUGGAGCUGUUUUAUUCUAGAAAUACUGGAAUUACUGAAACAAAAAACAAACAAACGAACAAAAAAAAUAUAUAUAUAUAAAAUGUAAAAAAAAUAAAUAAAUAAAUAAUAAGAAGAAGUAUUAUAAAUAAACAAAUAUUGAAAUAAUUUCCUCCACUGCCAUUUGCAAAAUUAGUUUAUUCCAAUCAAUCACACAAAUAUUGGCACCCUUGGUAAAUAUGAGAAAA
Cyprinus carpio (common carp) is the source of this 8017-nucleotide long non-coding RNA. The record is from Ensembl. NCBI's taxonomy places the organism in Eukaryota, Metazoa, Chordata, Actinopteri, Cypriniformes, Cyprinidae.